CAUGUAGGUGGAUACUUAAGUCUGUUGUGAAAAUGCGGGGCUCAACCCGUAUUGCGAUGGAAACUGGGUGUCUUGAGUGCAGGAGAGGAAAGGGGAAUUCCCAGUGUAGCGGUGAAAUGCGUAGAUAUUGGGAGGAACACCAGUGGCGAAGGCGCCUUUCUGGACUGUGUCUGACACUGAGAUGCGAAAGCUAGGGGAGCGAACG
Molecule: ribosomal RNA, 205 nt
Filed under: uncultured Selenomonadales bacterium
Lineage: Bacteria; Bacillati; Bacillota; Negativicutes; Selenomonadales
Description: partial 16S ribosomal RNA
Rfam family: Bacterial small subunit ribosomal RNA
Source: RNAcentral